Long non-coding RNA from Rhineura floridana, 395 nucleotides. RefSeq lists it as uncharacterized. The transcript has 2 exons. NCBI's taxonomy places the organism in Eukaryota, Metazoa, Chordata, Lepidosauria, Squamata, Rhineuridae. The record is from RefSeq and is a predicted model, not a curated record.
GGAGUGCUCCAGCAUGCGUGAGACUCACGGAGGGAGGUCCAGCAACAGCAAGGCUGAGGUCACUGGUUGUGCUUGAAGGAGAGAAAUAUGAUGAGAUUGUAGCAGGAAGCUGUUUAAUCCCAGAGCUGAGGCUGGAACUAUGGGAGGAAGAAGAGCUCAGUGGUGGAGCACAUGCAUGCAAAGGGUACCAGGGAGGUCCAAUCUCCCACUCCUCCAGUUAAAAAACAUCUCAGGAAGCUGAAGAAGACCUCUCUCUGCCUGGGACCCUGUAGAGCUGCUGCCAGUCAGAGAUGACAGAACUGGAUAAGAUGGACCAUCAGUCUGACUUGACAGAAGCAGCUUUGGAUAUUCAAACAUAUAGCAUGGCUGUGCUGUGUUAGCUUAGAAGAACUUGG